GAUGAACGCUGACAGAAUGCUUAACACAUGCAAGUCAACUUGAACUUCGGUUUGGGUGGCGGACGGGUGAGUAACGCGUAAAGAACUUGCCUCACAGAUAGGGACAACAUUUGGAAACGAAUGCUAAUACCUGAUAUUAUGAUUAUAUGGCAUCGUAUAAUUAUGAAAGCUAUAUGCGCUGUGAGAGAGCUUUUCGUCCCAUUAGCUAGUUGGAGAGGUAACGGCUCACCAAGGCGAUGAUGGGUAGCCGGCCUGAGAGGGUGAUCGGCCACAAGGGGACUGAGACACGGCCCUUACUCCUACGGGAGGCAGCAGUGGGGAAUAUUGGACAAUGGACCAAGAGUCUGAUCCAGCAAUUCUGUGUGCACGAUGAAGUUUUUCGGAAUGUAAAGUGCUUUCAGUUGGGAAGAAAAAAAUGACGGUACCAACAGAAGAAGUGACGGCUAAAUACGUG
This 454-nucleotide ribosomal RNA is filed under the name uncultured bacterium. RNAcentral's name for it is "partial 16S ribosomal RNA". It matches the Rfam family "Bacterial small subunit ribosomal RNA", at positions 28 to 507 of the family's 1533-position model. The record is from RNAcentral.